UACGGAGGGUGCAAGCGUUAAUCGGAAUUACUGGGCGUAAAGCGCGCGUAGGCGGUUUGAUAAGUCGAUUGUGAAAUCCCCGGGCUCAACCUGGGAAUUGCAGUCGAGACUGUCAGACUAGAGUGUGGGAGAGGGUGGUGGAAUUCCCGGUGUAGCGGUGAAAUGCGUAGAUAUCGGGAGGAACAUCAGUGGCGAAGGCGACCGCCUGGCCCAACACUGACGCUGAGGUGCGAAAGCGGUGGGUAGCAAACGAGGA
Molecule: ribosomal RNA, 256 nt
Filed under: uncultured bacterium
Lineage: Bacteria
Description: partial 16S ribosomal RNA
Rfam family: Bacterial small subunit ribosomal RNA
Source: RNAcentral